RNAcentral lists this long non-coding RNA (352 nucleotides) under Salvator merianae (Argentine black and white tegu). Its description in RNAcentral is "lncRNA (ENSSMRG00000005578.1)". The record is from RNAcentral. Lineage: Eukaryota; Metazoa; Chordata; Lepidosauria; Squamata; Teiidae.
CCUGUCUCACUUUUCCUUUUUCUAGGACCAUGACAGUAAUCUUCAGCACCUUUCUCCUGCUGAUCUCUCUCCCCCCAGUGGCACCACUGAUAUGUCACCAGUGUUUUGGGCCAAUAGAACUGUGCCAGAACAAUACAGCGGAAGUGAAAUGUAGAGAUAACGAGGACACUUGCUUCAACUCGAUUUUUCAAACCAACCUAUUUUGCAAAAGCUGCACGUACGUGCUAAGGUCUUGUUGUCGUUCGGAUAAUUGUUUCCCAGGCAUUUCUACUGGUUCUUUUGCACAUGGUAUUUACCUCUUUGGAAGAAAUGAUUGUUGCCAAGAGGACAGAUGCAAUUUCCCCAGUCCCUC